UCACUCGCCAUUUUUUUGAGAGAGAGAGAGAGAGAAAGAGCGAGCCAUCUUUUGGUUGAGAGUGAGAGAGCCGUAUUUUUGGUUGAGAGAGUUUUUGGUGGUUGAGAGAGAGAAACAGAGCACACCACUUUUUGUUGAGAGAGAGAGAGUGAGAGAGAGAAGGUUCAAGACACAUACACAGAAGGGGCCAUCAAGAAGUCGAGAGGGAGGGGAAGCAAAACAAAGAGCCAAAGAGGAGCACGCCAUCGAGAGCCCGAAGAGCUGGUGAAUAUAGAUGAUAGAUCCGGCGCACUCAAGCUCCAGAUCGUGUUGUAGAGGAUGACGAUGAAGAAUCUGUGGAUUACAGUAUGGCGAUGAGAAUCUAGAAACUCCUGAAGCCCUUCACGAUAGGGAGUGUUGGGGCAGCACGUCGCCACCAUCGUUAUUAGGACUCAAACAUCAACGAGGUGCAGUGCAGAUCAAUAGCGAGCAUUGGCCCGCAUUAGGUACAAUGUGGUCGACAUUAGGUACAUCGCCAUUUCACAGCAGCAGUAAUAGCUGCACCGGGACAGCCAACGCAGCAGCCAUAGCUGCAUCGGGCACAUAGAGGCUGCUCGAAACGUAAAAUCAAAGUGGGCGAUAAAGUAGCUAGCUUCAAGUUGCACGUUGAAUUGGUUGGGUGACAAUUUGCCUCAUCUUUCAAGCUUUCUAAUUGUCGUGUUAAGCCAAAUACUAUGACUAUUCCCUUAGAUCAAGAUAAUAAAACGAAAGAGAAAGAAAGGAGCAGGCAGGCUCCAGAACUUGAGGAGAUAAUCAGAUAACAGAGAUAGAUGUGGUCUGUUGAAGACUUGUCAGGGUCUUGAAGGGUACUUGUGUAUGAAUUCAUGUCAAAUGGUUCACUUGAGAAGAUUACAAACACCGUAAUUGCAGAUCGUUGCAUGUUCAGGCCAGAAAGGUUAUAUGAUACAGCACUAGGCAUUGCCAGGGGAAUUGAGUACCUACACCAAGGUUGUGCUCAAAGCAUCAUCCACUUUGACGUCAAGCCACAUAACAUUCUUCUGGACCAUCACUAUACACCAAAGAUUUCUGAUUUUGGUCUAGCAAAAUCAUAUUCAAGGAGCAAAGCAUUAUAACUAUUACAGAAGCAAAGGCACAAGUGGUUACGUUGCUCUUAAGAUGUGGAUAUUUGAUACCAGUGAUGAAGAGGGCCAUUGUCUCCUAACAAAGGACCUAGAAGCACGCUUGCAUCAAAACAAGAGGCCUCCUCAUGAAUAUACGGCUGUUGCUACUGGAAAAUCUUAAGUUGACAAUCAACAAGCACAUUGAGCAGAUACAGGUUACUUCUUGGUGCAGGUUGGAAAGGUGUUUUGUUACAAUCCAGGAUCUAGCAUAGUACGAGAUUAUCCUAUUUGUGUUCAUCAUAAUCAAGAGGAGGUCCCAGACGAGUAUUCAACAGAUGCCUCCCUUUAGAAAGAUGGUCCAUUAGAGAUGUGGCGGUUGUCAACUUAGCCUGAAAUUUGGCAAGAAAAUAUUGUUUUGUUCACGUCAAAUAUUCCUGAGGAUGGAAGGAUCAACAUCUUCAUGAUUGUGGUCAAUCACUUGCGUUUGCUACAACCACCUGCUAUUCUGGUUUUCUCGCAACCAUGAGUGGAGUUCUUUGAUGUGUGAUCGAUAGGCUUGUCUUAUCACGGGCCCAUGCUGAACCAACAAAAGAAAAAAGUCAGAUCUUACAAGAGAGAGUGAUAUCUUAAUCUAAUCUGCCUUAACUAUGUUAAUCAGUUUCACAAAUUACAGUUGCUGGUUAGCUGAAUUUGAUUUAGCAGAUAAAUACUGUUAGCUUUUUAAGACUUGUACAAGCUAUAUGUUUUCAUGUUCAAAAAGUGUUAGCCUUUUGGGCUUGCUUAUGUGAUGUUCAACAAGUAAAAAAACAGUUUAUUGUAAUAACACGUUCGGUAGUAAAUGAGAUCAAGAAAUACAUAACAUGUUCACAUUAUGCAGGCACACACAGAGAGAGAGAGAGAGAGAGAGCAUUGCUGACAUCUUCUAAUGUAUUUCUGUUAGCUGAUCACUGUGUGAAGAUUCUGUUGAUCUAUUGUUCUCUUGUUCAUUUUUAUCAUCUGUGAUUGGUUGCUUUAAUCUUUCCAGAAAGCACCAACAUACUCCUUUUUGUUUCCUUAUUCAUGCUUCAAUUUAGGUGAGCCACUGUAUGUAAGAAAAAGUUUUCAGUUGCUUUCCCUUGGACACAAAAUCUCCUAAUGCAUUUGAAGUAGGGGGCAUUCAAUUGCCAUAUAUCUAAAAUCUUUGAUGAUCUAAGACUUGUUGGUUCUCAAGAAUUCUAGCAAGGAUCUACAGUUUUUUGCUUCAAAGAUGCGUAGGUUAAUUACAUUAUGUAUUUGUAUACUUUUCAUGUGCUUUUGGUUUUGUUUUCUGGUGAUUGUUCGCUUUUUUAUUCUGUUUUUCAGCAAAAGUUGGUGCUGAAGUUGGACAUAUAUGAUGAUAAUUGCAGGUGUAAGGCCAUGAAAACUACCAUUGUUGCUGGAGUGGAUGUGGUUAAAUGGACUCGCAGAUCAAGACAAUGAAGCUGUUGUUGUUGCUCAAUGUGGCUGCCGCUCCAAUAUUGUACCAUCUCUUCUCCAAUGAGGCAACUGGCUGCAGAUCUUAGGGUGGAUUUGCUCCGCCUUUGCCAUCAGUGUCUUUGCAGUUUCCCUUUCCAUAACUUAUUCCUCUUCUCAACUGGCAAAUUCACUAUUAGCACACUUCUGUAAAAGAUUGAUUUGUCCUAUAUCAGUCUCCAGAAUGGAUUGUUGUAGUUUAACAAUUUUUUAUUUUCACUUUAUUACUAAGAAGUAUUUUAGUUUGACAUUAA
Long non-coding RNA from Nymphaea colorata (pocket water lily), 2845 nucleotides. RefSeq lists it as uncharacterized. The record is from RefSeq and is a predicted model, not a curated record. The transcript has 9 exons. Lineage: Eukaryota; Viridiplantae; Streptophyta; Magnoliopsida; Nymphaeales; Nymphaeaceae.